RNAcentral lists this ribosomal RNA (1542 nucleotides) under Salmonella enterica subsp. enterica serovar Heidelberg. RNAcentral describes it as "bacterial SSU rRNA". It matches the Rfam family "Bacterial small subunit ribosomal RNA". Lineage: Bacteria; Pseudomonadati; Pseudomonadota; Gammaproteobacteria; Enterobacterales; Enterobacteriaceae. The record is from RNAcentral. RNAcentral also lists the same sequence under 11 other names.
AAAUUGAAGAGUUUGAUCAUGGCUCAGAUUGAACGCUGGCGGCAGGCCUAACACAUGCAAGUCGAACGGUAACAGGAAGCAGCUUGCUGCUUUGCUGACGAGUGGCGGACGGGUGAGUAAUGUCUGGGAAACUGCCUGAUGGAGGGGGAUAACUACUGGAAACGGUGGCUAAUACCGCAUAACGUCGCAAGACCAAAGAGGGGGACCUUCGGGCCUCUUGCCAUCAGAUGUGCCCAGAUGGGAUUAGCUUGUUGGUGAGGUAACGGCUCACCAAGGCGACGAUCCCUAGCUGGUCUGAGAGGAUGACCAGCCACACUGGAACUGAGACACGGUCCAGACUCCUACGGGAGGCAGCAGUGGGGAAUAUUGCACAAUGGGCGCAAGCCUGAUGCAGCCAUGCCGCGUGUAUGAAGAAGGCCUUCGGGUUGUAAAGUACUUUCAGCGGGGAGGAAGGUGUUGCGGUUAAUAACCGCAGCAAUUGACGUUACCCGCAGAAGAAGCACCGGCUAACUCCGUGCCAGCAGCCGCGGUAAUACGGAGGGUGCAAGCGUUAAUCGGAAUUACUGGGCGUAAAGCGCACGCAGGCGGUCUGUCAAGUCGGAUGUGAAAUCCCCGGGCUCAACCUGGGAACUGCAUUCGAAACUGGCAGGCUUGAGUCUUGUAGAGGGGGGUAGAAUUCCAGGUGUAGCGGUGAAAUGCGUAGAGAUCUGGAGGAAUACCGGUGGCGAAGGCGGCCCCCUGGACAAAGACUGACGCUCAGGUGCGAAAGCGUGGGGAGCAAACAGGAUUAGAUACCCUGGUAGUCCACGCCGUAAACGAUGUCUACUUGGAGGUUGUGCCCUUGAGGCGUGGCUUCCGGAGCUAACGCGUUAAGUAGACCGCCUGGGGAGUACGGCCGCAAGGUUAAAACUCAAAUGAAUUGACGGGGGCCCGCACAAGCGGUGGAGCAUGUGGUUUAAUUCGAUGCAACGCGAAGAACCUUACCUGGUCUUGACAUCCACAGAACUUUCCAGAGAUGGAUUGGUGCCUUCGGGAACUGUGAGACAGGUGCUGCAUGGCUGUCGUCAGCUCGUGUUGUGAAAUGUUGGGUUAAGUCCCGCAACGAGCGCAACCCUUAUCCUUUGUUGCCAGCGGUCCGGCCGGGAACUCAAAGGAGACUGCCAGUGAUAAACUGGAGGAAGGUGGGGAUGACGUCAAGUCAUCAUGGCCCUUACGACCAGGGCUACACACGUGCUACAAUGGCGCAUACAAAGAGAAGCGACCUCGCGAGAGCAAGCGGACCUCAUAAAGUGCGUCGUAGUCCGGAUUGGAGUCUGCAACUCGACUCCAUGAAGUCGGAAUCGCUAGUAAUCGUGGAUCAGAAUGCCACGGUGAAUACGUUCCCGGGCCUUGUACACACCGCCCGUCACACCAUGGGAGUGGGUUGCAAAAGAAGUAGGUAGCUUAACCUUCGGGAGGGCGCUUACCACUUUGUGAUUCAUGACUGGGGUGAAGUCGUAACAAGGUAACCGUAGGGGAACCUGCGGUUGGAUCACCUCCUUA